This 447-nucleotide ribosomal RNA is filed under the name uncultured bacterium. Its description in RNAcentral is "bacterial SSU rRNA". It matches the Rfam family "Bacterial small subunit ribosomal RNA", at positions 30 to 472 of the family's 1533-position model. The record is from RNAcentral.
AUUGAACGCUGGCGGCAUGCCUUACACAUGCAAGUCGAACGGUAACGCGGGGCAACCUGGCGACGAGUGGCGAACGGGUGAGUAAUAUAUCGGAACGUGCCCAAUAGUGGGGGAUAGCCCGGCGAAAGCCGGAUUAAUACCGCAUACGACCUGAGGGUGAAAGCGGGGGAUCGCAAGACCUCGCGCUAUUGGAGCGGCCGAUAUCAGAUUAGGUAGUUGGUGGGGUAAAGGCCUACCAAGCCUACGAUCUGUAGCUGGUCUGAGAGGACGACCAGCCACACUGGGACUGAGACACGGCCCAGACUCCUACGGGAGGCAGCAGUGGGGAAUUUUGGACAAUGGGGGCAACCCUGAUCCAGCCAUUCCGCGUGAGUGAAGAAGGCCUCGGUUGUAAGCUCUUUGUCGGGGUACGGAAACGGUCGUCACCUAACUACGUGAGACUACUGA